This is a non-coding RNA of Caenorhabditis elegans, 124 nucleotides long. The record is from Ensembl. Lineage: Eukaryota; Metazoa; Nematoda; Chromadorea; Rhabditida; Rhabditidae.
GAGGCAAGAAGUACGCGCGGAUGCGUACCCCCUCAACAACCACUUGAGAGAUAAAUUGGCGCUGGCAGCACGUUUAUGAAGACAUUAAUUGGCAGCCGCCGCGCGAAUUGUCGAUCUGUCAUCU